This 497-nucleotide ribosomal RNA is filed under the name uncultured bacterium. RNAcentral's name for it is "partial 16S ribosomal RNA". It matches the Rfam family "Bacterial small subunit ribosomal RNA", at positions 28 to 507 of the family's 1533-position model. The record is from RNAcentral.
GAUGAACGCUGGCGGCGUGCCUAAUACAUGCAAGUCGAGCGAACAGACGAGGAGCUUGCUCCUCUGACGUUAGCGGCGGACGUGUGAGUAACACGUGGUUAACCUACCUAUAAGACUGGGAUACCUUCGGGAAACCGGAGCUACUACCGGUUAAUAUAUUGAACCGCAUUGUUCAAUAAUGAAAGUCGGUUUUGCUGUCCCUUAUCAAUGUUUCCGCGCCGCUUUAGUUAGUUGGUAAGGUAACGGUUUAGCAAGGCAACGAUGCGUGGCCGAGCUGCGAGGGGGGUCGGCUACACUGGAACUGAAACACGGCACAGACCACAACGGGAGGGAGCGGAAGGGAAAGUUCCGCAAUGGGCGAAAGGCGGACGGGAUAACGCCGCGCCAGGUAAAGAAGUCCGGGGAUCGGAAAACUCUGUUAUUAGGGAAGAACAAAAGUGUAAGUAACUAGGCACGUCUUGACGGUACCUAAUCAGAAAGCCCCGGCUAACUACGUG